CGCGGCCUAUCAGCUUGUUGGUGGGGUGAUGGCCUACCAAGGCGUUGACGGGUAGCCGGCCUGAGAGGGCGGUCGGUCACAUUGGGACUGAGACACGGCCCAGACUCCUACGGGAGGCAGCAGUGGGGAAUAUUGCACAACGGGCGAAAGCCUGAUGCAGCGACGCCGCGUGGGGGAUGACGGUCUUCGGAUUGUAAACCCCUUUCAGUAGGGACGAAGCGCAAGUGACGGUACCUGCAGAAGAAGCACCGGCUAACUACGUGCCAGCAGCCGCGGUAAUACGUAGGGUGCGAGCGUUGUCCGGAAUUACUGGGCGUAAAGAGCUCGUAGGCGGUUUGUCACGUCGUCUGUGAAAUCCCUCGGCUUAACCGGGAGCGUGCAGGCGAUACGGGCAGACUUGAGUACUACAGGGGAAACUGGAAUUCUACGUGUAGCGGUGAAAUGCGCAGAUAUGUGGAGGAACACCGGUGGCGAAGGCGGGUUUCUGGGCUUGUUCUGACGCUGAGGAGCGAAAGCGUGGGGAGCGAACAGGAUUAGAUACCCUGGUAGUCCAUGCUGUAAACGGUGGGCGCUAGGUGUGGGGCCACGUUGGUUGGUUCUGUGCCGUAGCUAACGCAUUAAGCGCCCCGCCUGGGGAGUACGG
RNAcentral lists this ribosomal RNA (643 nucleotides) under uncultured Actinomycetes bacterium. RNAcentral describes it as "bacterial SSU rRNA". It matches the Rfam family "Bacterial small subunit ribosomal RNA", at positions 232 to 885 of the family's 1533-position model. The record is from RNAcentral. Lineage: Bacteria; Bacillati; Actinomycetota; Actinomycetes.